This 93-nucleotide ribosomal RNA is filed under the name Ruminococcus sp. AM43-6. The record is from RNAcentral. Lineage: Bacteria; Bacillati; Bacillota; Clostridia; Eubacteriales; Oscillospiraceae.
GUCGGUGGCGUUUGAGUUGAGGUCACACCUGUUCCCAUGCCGAACACAGUAGUUAAGCUCUUCUUCGCCGAAAAUACUUGGAUGGUAACGUCC